Molecule: ribosomal RNA, 601 nt
Filed under: Microbacterium sp.
Lineage: Bacteria; Bacillati; Actinomycetota; Actinomycetes; Micrococcales; Microbacteriaceae
Description: bacterial SSU rRNA
Rfam family: Bacterial small subunit ribosomal RNA
Source: RNAcentral
CGUGAGCAACCUGCCCUGGACUCUGGGAUAAGCGCUGGAAACGGCGUCUAAUACUGGAUAUGAGACACAACCGCAUGGUUAGUGUUUGGAAAGAUUUUUUGGUCUGGGAUGGGCUCGCGGCCUAUCAGCUUGUUGGUGAGGUAAUGGCUCACCAAGGCGUCGACGGGUAGCCGGCCUGAGAGGGUGACCGGCCACACUGGGACUGAGACACGGCCCAGACUCCUACGGGAGGCAGCAGUGGGGAAUAUUGCACAAUGGGCGGAAGCCUGAUGCAGCAACGCCGCGUGAGGGAUGACGGCCUUCGGGUUGUAAACCUCUUUUAGCAAGGAAGAAGCGAAAGUGACGGUACUUGCAGAAAAAGCGCCGGCUAACUACGUGCCAGCAGCCGCGGUAAUACGUAGGGCGCAAGCGUUAUCCGGAAUUAUUGGGCGUAAAGAGCUCGUAGGCGGUUUGUCGCGUCUGCUGUGAAAUCCCGAGGCUCAACCUCGGGCCUGCAGUGGGUACGGGCAGACUAGAGUGCGGUAGGGGAGAUUGGAAUUCCUGGUGUAGCGGUGGAAUGCGCAGAUAUCAGGAGGAACACCGAUGGCGAAGGCAGAUCUCU